GACGAACGCUGGCGGCGUGCCUAAUACAUGCAAGUAGAACGCUGAAGAGAGGAGCUUGCUCUUCUUGGAUGAGUUGCGAACGGGUGAGUAACGCGUAGGUAACCUGCCUUGUAGCGGGGGAUAACUAUUGGAAACGAUAGCUAAUACCGCAUAACAAUGGAUGACACAUGUCAUUUAUUUGAAAGGGGCAAUUGCUGCACUACAAGAUGGACCUGCGUUGUAUUAGCUAGUAGGUGAGGUAAUGGCUCACCUAGGCGACGAUACAUAGCCGACCUGAGAGGGGGAUCGGCCACACUGGGACUGAGACACGGCCCAGACUCCUACGGGAGGCAGCAGUAGGGAAUCUUCGGCAAUGGGGGCAACCCUGACCGAGCAACGCCGCGUGAGUGAAGAAGGUUUUCGGAUCGUAAAGCUCUGUUGUAAGUCAAGAACGGGUGUGAGAGUGGAAAGUUCACACUGUGACGGUAGCUUACCAGAAAGGGACGGCUAACUACGUG
This 497-nucleotide ribosomal RNA is filed under the name uncultured bacterium. Its description in RNAcentral is "partial 16S ribosomal RNA". It matches the Rfam family "Bacterial small subunit ribosomal RNA", at positions 28 to 507 of the family's 1533-position model. The record is from RNAcentral.